GCACUCCCGCCCCGGCGCACCCUGCUCCCCGGCGCGUACCCAGGGGCCACGAUUUUGGCUGGGCGAAAGCGGCCCGCUCCCGCCUCUCCUUGAGUGCGCUGAUUACAUCUACCGGAGACACCUUCCCUUCCCUUGGGGAUCCCAACUCUCAGCUCUUCAGAAAGCAAUGACAAGGCAUCUGACUCAUCCUCCUGCACCUCUUUUCAAUUACUGACUUAAACCAGAUUACAGUUGCUGUCAGGCUUGAAGACUGAGACUUACUGAUACGUGUAUCCUAGAAGUACCUGACACAGUAACACACUGCCUUACCUUGGGAGAGAGAAAAGGAGCUGCUUACAGAAGAUGCUCCCUGGGGCAGCAGAGGCCAGAGCCAUCAGAAGCAGUCCCAAUGGCCAGGGACGGUGGCCAGAUAACAGGGCAGCCUGGGAUGCACAGAGCGGCUAAGAAGACGCUGGCACUUGCACAGGGUAUUCUGCUGCCACCUUGAUGCAGCUGAGCUUGGUUUGGAAGACAGUCCGGAGGCAAGUGAUAAACAGUAGGAGGAGCAACGGGAGAAUUUCUUUCCCCCUAUUCCCUGGCCAGUCUCCUUCCUUCCAGUUCAAUUACGUCUAAAUGCAAAGAGGCUUUCCUACAAGUGAGGAGGGUGGGGUACAAAACACCCCAAAACCCAGUCAGUAGCUCCUCCUCACAGCAGCUUUCAAAAUUUCUCUUGCCACUUAACACAUAGGCAGAAGGAGGAGGGAACACCCUUCAUCCUCAGCCCUCCUCCCUUUCCCCCAGGUUGAUGCUGUGAAGUCCUCCCCAGUUAUUACCCACUCCCACAGCCUCCCCUCCUUCUUGGCCUUAUUAACCUGUCUUGCCCUCGGGUACAAACAUAAAUUGUGCACAAACGCCAUGCAAGGAAGUGAUGCCUCCUCAACUGCCAUUGGCAAAUCAGAGGACCUAAGCGUGUGUAAUCACACUCAUCAGAAGUUAUCUCCCAUCUAAGCAUUUAAGUGUCAUCGGUCCUGUAGAACACUGUAGUUCUGCUAGAGAACUGGCAUUCCAGUUUAAAGCAGCAACUUCAUAAAGGCAUGGUAUCUACUUCCUGUUAUUGACUAUUCACUGUGGUUGGUUCUCUAGAUGUCACAGGAAACUUAUCAGAAUGUAAAGACUUCAUAAAAGAAAGAGAAUAAAGAAAUAGCUAGCAUAUAA
Molecule: long non-coding RNA, 1194 nt
Filed under: Homo sapiens (human)
Lineage: Eukaryota; Metazoa; Chordata; Mammalia; Primates; Hominidae
Description: DSC1/DSC2 antisense RNA
Source: RNAcentral